GUCCAAGUCUCGCCUCCUCCAGAAAGCCUCCCAGGACUGCUGGCCCCAGACACAAAACUCCCAAGGGAAGGCUGUUCCACCAAAAGUCACGGAUGCAGCGAUAAUGAUGAGUUUGGAGAGGACUGCAGACCCUGAGGCGGAGGUUGGUGCAGGGGCUGGACCUGAAACUGGGUUCACACAACAAGCUCAGACUCCUCUUAACGUUCCUGGUUGGUGACAUUGUGGGGUCUUGGAUGCCCCCUCCUCUCUGUCCCUGGUACUGUCCCUGCCACCUGGGACUCCACUAAGUUCCUUCCCCUCCACCCACAAGGAAAGCCUGCCCAGUGGCCAGCACUCUGUCCCUCAGCCUCAGAACCAGGAGCAUUCUCUCCGCUUCGAUGUCACAGCAGGUAAAAAAAUACACAAAAUAAAAUGAAAUGUCAUGAUCACCUGAGAAGGAAGUUCGGCGUAGGCCCGUAUCACGUGUUUCCAGAGAAGCCACACCUUCGCUAUGAAGCCCUUCCUGGCAUAGAGAAGGGUGGGGCCAGGAAACAGCUGCUAUCCAGCACCCCCAGGCUGACUGAAGCCAGAGUGUAUGGGGGCCAGCGAUGGAACAGAGGGAGCCUCCUGCCCAGGGCAAGCGGGGGGAGACCACCAGGGGCCCCAGAUUCUGUCUCCAGAGCCUUUGAGGUCACUCCUGACGCUGACAUGGCUGUGAAGAGCUGGGUGACAGGCAUUACUGCCUCCAAGGUUGCUUUGAGAGGAAUAGGUGGGGCAUCAGGAAGAAGCCAGCUGCAGCCAUCCAUGGGAGGGAGCUGUGAGACGGCCUGGAAGGACCGGCUCUCACACCCCACAGAGGGAGAGGCUCACCCUGCGCAGGAACAUCCUGGGGCAGCAGGCUCAGCACAUUUUACAUUUUGAAUAUGAACAAAGUAAACUUCAGGGUAAAAAAAAAAACAAAAAUUCGCUGAGCACACAAUGAUUGAGUGUCUGUGGUAUACCUGACGCUUUGCCAGAACCAGGCUUCAAACCUCAGGGUUCUGGGUCCUUGGAGGCCCAGCUCCAACCCCACCUCACCCAAGCACCCUCCACCCCCAUCACGUACCCAUCACCAGGGCUGCCCAGCUUGGGCCAUCUCAGACCACUUGGACUUCCUCCCGAGGCCUCCAGCCCCUCAGGCCUCACACCCUGAGCCCCUCAACCUGGAAACCAGCCACCGGCCUGUACACUAUGGGGGCCCCUGAGGUUUCCACCUCCUGCUACCCUUGGCCUGAAAGGGGUCAGUGGGACCCUGCCCUGGGCCUCUGGGAGGCUGUACCCUUGCUUCUGCCUCAUCCUGUUCUCCAGGGCCCUGUCCCUUUCUUGCUGGGCCCUCCCAGAAUGCCCCCCACCCCCAGUCACUGCCCUCACUGGCCUAAGUCACCUCCUCCAGGAAGCCUUCCAGACUGAUGGCUCCCAGCCACUGAGCAUCCCCCAACUUUGCUGAGAAUGGUGGACGCCCACCAUGGGCCCUCGGAAGCCGGAGAAGCCUGGGCCUCCCUGCAGGGGCUGCCACAGAGUUUUCCUGCCACUGCAGUUCCACCCAGGUCAAUCCCUUUCCUGCUUGUGUUUCCCAAGAAUAACUGUGGAACAUGCUGGAAAUGCAACAUCCUGAGAUAGGGAGAACAGCCUGAAGCAGCCAGGGCCUAGUUCCUGUCGCUCCAGGAGAAGGGAACAUGAUGAGUUAGAGAGUGGCCCCUGAAGAAGAAAGCGAGACAAAAAUCCCU
This 1745-nucleotide long non-coding RNA is filed under the name Piliocolobus tephrosceles (Ugandan red Colobus). Its description in RNAcentral is "lncRNA (ENSPTEG00000031128.1)". Lineage: Eukaryota; Metazoa; Chordata; Mammalia; Primates; Cercopithecidae. The record is from RNAcentral.